This is a non-coding RNA of Bombyx mori (domestic silkworm), 85 nucleotides long. NCBI's taxonomy places the organism in Eukaryota, Metazoa, Arthropoda, Insecta, Lepidoptera, Bombycidae. The record is from Rfam.
UUAACUCAAAUUUGUAUGGAGUUGAUACAGCUUGCCUUCGUUUGCCGCUAGGGGCGCUGUUCGAACUUCAUACAAAUUUGAGUUA